This is a small nuclear RNA of Echinops telfairi (small Madagascar hedgehog), 165 nucleotides long. Its record names the gene U1. It matches the Rfam family "U1 spliceosomal RNA". Rfam says of the family: U1 is a small nuclear RNA (snRNA) component of the spliceosome (involved in pre-mRNA splicing). Its 5' end forms complementary base pairs with the 5' splice junction, thus defining the 5' donor site of an intron. There are significant differences in sequence and secondary structure between metazoan and yeast U1 snRNAs, the latter being much longer (568 nucleotides as compared to 164 nucleotides in human). The record is from Ensembl. NCBI's taxonomy places the organism in Eukaryota, Metazoa, Chordata, Mammalia, Afrosoricida, Tenrecidae.
UGACUCUACCUGGCAGGGGACAUACCAUGAUCACAAAGGUGGUUUUCCCAGGGCGAGGCUUAUCCAUUGCACUCCAGAUGUGCUGACCCCUGCAAUUUCCCCAAAUGUGGGAAACUUGACUGCAUAAUUUGUGGUAGUGGGGGACUGCAUUCGCGCUCUCCCCUU